Molecule: small nucleolar RNA, 123 nt
Filed under: Cavia aperea (Brazilian guinea pig)
Lineage: Eukaryota; Metazoa; Chordata; Mammalia; Rodentia; Caviidae
Description: Small nucleolar RNA SNORA61 (ENSCAPG00000001000.1)
Source: RNAcentral
ACUCUCUAGUGCUCUUUCCCAUCAAAUCCGAACACUGGUAUUGCUGGUUGUAAGGGAGGAAAAGCAGUGCUGGCCUCACAGCCCUGGAGUCCAGUGUGCACUGUGUGCUAGCUUCAAACAGGG